This 449-nucleotide ribosomal RNA is filed under the name uncultured bacterium. RNAcentral's name for it is "bacterial SSU rRNA". It matches the Rfam family "Bacterial small subunit ribosomal RNA", at positions 329 to 793 of the family's 1533-position model. The record is from RNAcentral.
GCCCAGACUCCUACGGGAGGCAGCAGUGGGGAAUAUUGCACAAUGGGGGGAACCCUGAUGCAGCGACGCCGCGUGGGUGAAGGAGUAUUUCGGUAUGUAAAGCCCUAUCAGCAGGGAAGAACAAUGACGGUACCUGACUAAGAAGCCCCGGCUAACUACGUGCCAGCAGCCGCGGUAAUACGUAGGGGGCAAGCGUUAUCCGGAUUUACUGGGUGUAAGGGGAGCGUAGACGGCAGUGCAAGUCUGAAGUGAAAGGCGGGGGCCCAACCCCCGGACUGCUUUGGAAACUGUGCUGCUGGAGUGCAGGAGAGGCAAGUGGAAUUCCUAGUGUAGCGGUGAAAUGCGUAGAUAUUAGGAGGAACACCAGUGGCGAAGGCGGCUUGCUGGACUGUAACUGACGUUGAGGCUCGAAAGCGUGGGGAGCAAACAGGAUUAGAUACCCCUGUAUG